RNAcentral lists this long non-coding RNA (398 nucleotides) under Carica papaya (papaya). RNAcentral describes it as "long non-coding RNA (CPAP_LNC009333)". Lineage: Eukaryota; Viridiplantae; Streptophyta; Magnoliopsida; Brassicales; Caricaceae. The record is from RNAcentral.
AACAAAACCAGGCCCAACAAGGCCCACUUAUUAUGGCCCAAUGAGGCCCACCAAACCAAACCCAGACCUCAUCAAGAUCCAAAAACAAAUUCUAGGCUUUGUAAAGUCCAUUAACAAACCUGCGCCCAACAGAGGUCCAUUAACACUUUAUGGGCUCCAUAAAGCGCAUCAAACAACCCAACCCAUUAGGGCCCAUGUCCAAACUGAGGCCCAUAAGGGAAAACCCUCUUUGCACUCACCAAUUGGCGAGGUAGAGGCCAGCCACACAACCUUCUCGGCAAUCAAGGGUGUCUGGCAAGGCCCAACAGCAUAGGCAAGCUGUGCGUUGCAAUGCACCCAGGGUAAGUUGUCCUCGCACUCGGGCAUGUCAGGGUAAGCCCUCAUGCACAGGGCUCAUC